CGUUUGCUGUAAAGAGCUGGUUUUCAGAUCAGGCGGCGGUGUGAAAGGAAUGGGGUAAAAGCCCCGCGCGACCGGCACUGUGAGCGCAAGGAUGCAGUUGAAGCGGCGAGAGCCGCCUGGACCAAAGUCCGCCAUUGCAGGGAGUUGUCCCCUGUGAGAAGGUAAACUGCAAACGUAGAGAGUUUUCUCUCUGUGGCGUGAGUCAGGAGAAUUGCACUGUUCAGAACCUACCAG
Clostridiales bacterium 52_15 is the source of this 234-nucleotide non-coding RNA. The record is from Rfam. Lineage: Bacteria; Bacillati; Bacillota; Clostridia; Eubacteriales.